RNAcentral lists this ribosomal RNA (256 nucleotides) under uncultured bacterium. RNAcentral describes it as "partial 16S ribosomal RNA". It matches the Rfam family "Bacterial small subunit ribosomal RNA", at positions 524 to 776 of the family's 1533-position model. The record is from RNAcentral.
UACGGAGGGUGCAAGCGUUGUCCGGAAUCACUGGGCGUAAAGGGCGCGUAGGCGGCUCAUGAAGGCUGUGGUGAAAGUCCGGGGGCUCAACCUCGGAUCGGCCGUGGCGACUCGUGGGCUGGAGCACUGUAGAGGCGGGUGGAAUUCCGGGUGUAGCGGUGGAAUGCGUAGAGAUCCGGAAGAACACCAGUGGCGAAGGCGGCCCGCGUGGGCAGUGGCUGACGCUGAGGCGCGACAGCGUGGGGGAGCAAACAGG